AUAUCGAUUUCCGGUAACACUUCGCAUUCCAAAACCGCUACUUCCGUAACACCUUCGAAUGAACGAGACAAAGCGUCAGCCACUACAUUUUCGCUUCCUUUCCUAUGCUCGAUUUCGAACGAGUAACCUUGUAAUUUUAGUGCCCAUCUGGCUAAUCUACCGCUGAGAUCUGACUGGUUCAUAAGCCAACGGAGGCUUGCAUGAUCCGUAACAACUUUGAAGGGAUGACCAUCGAUGUACAUGUGGAAUUUUUUUAUGGCCAGUACUACCGCCAAGCAUUCGAGUUCCGUUACCGUGUAGUUUCGCUGAGCCUUGUUCAGCUUCUUGGACAUGUCGGACUAACGGACGCUCGCAACCUGAGUCAUCACAUUGAGCUAAAACUGCACCUACCCCAUGAAGAGAUGCAUCGCAUUGAACUACAAAAGGCUUGUCGUAAUUGGGAUGAAUUAAAAAUGGAGCUGAGCAUAAUUUACUCUUGACAUCAUCAAACGCUGCUUGUGCCUUUUCAUUCCAUUCAUACGGCCUUCCACGGAGUAGUUCGGUGAGAGAAAAGAUAACAGAAGAGUAGUUGGGAAUAAAACGUUGA
RNAcentral lists this long non-coding RNA (586 nucleotides) under Drosophila guanche. Lineage: Eukaryota; Metazoa; Arthropoda; Insecta; Diptera; Drosophilidae. The record is from RNAcentral.